GCACGUUGAAAAGUGCGGGGAUGAGGUGUGGGUAGCGGAGAAAUUCCAAUCGAACUUGGAGAUAGCUGGUUCUCUCCGAAAUAGCUUUAGGGCUAGCCUCGAGGUAAAGAGUCAUGGAGGUAGAGCACUGUUUGGACUAGGGGCCCUUCUCGGGUUACCGAAUUCAGAUAAACUCCGAAUGCCAUGUACUUAUACUCGGGAGUCAGACUGCGAGUGAUAAGAUCCGUAGUCGAAAGGGAAACAGCCCAGACCACCAGUUAAGGUCCCCAAAUAUAUGUUAAGUGGAAAAGGAUGUGGGGUUGCUUAGACAACCAGGAUGUUGGCUUAGAAGCAGCCACCAUUGAAAGAGUGCGUAAUAGCUCACUGGUCGAGUGACCCCGCGCCGAAAAUGUACCGGGGCUAAACAUAUUACCGAAACUGUGGAUGAACCUCUUUAGAGGUUCGUGGUAGGAGAGCGUUCUAAGGGCGGUGAAGUCAGACCGGAAGGACUGGUGGAGCGCUUAGAAGUGAGAAUGCCGGUAUGAGUAGCGAAAGAAGGGUGAGAAUCCCUUCCACCGAAUAUCUAAGGUUUCCUGAGGAAGGCUCGUCCGCUCAGGGUUAGUCGGGACCUAAGCCGAGGCCGAUAGGCGUAGGCGAUGGACAACAGGUAGAGAUUCCUGUACCAGUGCUAAUUGUUUAACCGAUGGGGUGACACAGAAGGAUAGGGAAUCGCACGAAUGGAAAUGUGCGUCCAAGCAGUGAGUGUGAGAAGUAGGCAAAUCCGCUUCUCGCGAAGCAUGAGCUGUGAUGGGGAAGGAAAUUAAGUACGGAAGUUCCUGAUUUCACGCUGUCAAGAAAAGCCUCUAGGAAGAGUAGUACUGCCCGUACCGCAAACCGACACAGGUAGAUGAGGAGAGAAUCCUAAGGUGAGCGAGAGAACUCUCGUUAAGGAACUCGGCAAAAUGACCCCGUAACUUCGGGAGAAGGGGUGCUCUAUUAGGGUGCAAGCCCGAGAGAGCCGCAGUGAAUAGGCCCAGGCGACUGUUUAGCAAAAACACAGGUCUCUGCAAAACCGUAAGGUGACGUAUAGGGGCUGACGCCUGCCCGGUGCUGGAAGGUUAAGAGGAGUGCUUAGCUUCGGCGAAGGUACGAAUUGAAGCCCCAGUAAACGGCGGCCGUAACUAUAACGGUCCUAAGGUAGCGAAAUUCCUUGUCGGGUAAGUUCCGACCCGCACGAAAGGCGCAACGAUCUGGGCACUGUCUCAACGAGAGACUCGGUGAAAUUAUAGUACCUGUGAAGAUGCAGGUUACCCGCGACAGGACGGAAAGACCCCGUGGAGCUUUACUGCAACCUGAUAUGGAAUGUUUGUACCGCUUGUACAGGAUAGGUAGGAGCCGAAGAGACGUGUGCGCUAGCAUACGAGGAGGCAAUGGUGGGAUACUACCCUGGCUGUAUGACCAUUCUAACCCGCCACGCUUAGCGCGUGGGGAGACAGUGUCAGGUGGGCAGUUUGACUGGGGCGGUCGCCUCCUAAAGAGUAACGGAGGCGCCCAAAGGUUCCCUCAGAAUGGAUGGAAAUCAUUCGCAGAGUGUAAAGGCACAAGGGAGCUUGACUGCGAGACUGACAAGUCGAGCAGGGACGAAAGUCGGGCUUAGUGAUCCGGUGGUUCCGCAUGGAAGGGCCAUCGCUCAACGGAUAAAAGCUACCCCGGGGAUAACAGGCUUAUCUCCCCCAAGAGUCCACAUCGACGGGGAGGUUUGGCACCUCGAUGUCGGCUCGUCGCAUCCUGGGGCUGUAGUCGGUCCCAAGGGUUGGGCUGUUCGCCCAUUAAAGCGGCACGCGAGCUGGGUUCAGAACGUCGUGAGACAGUUCGGUCCCUAUCCGUCGCGGGCGCAGGAAAUUUGAGAGGAGCUGUCCUUAGUACGAGAGGACCGGGAUGGACACACCGCUGGUGUACCAGUUGUUCCGCCAGGAGCAUCGCUGGGUAGCUAUGUGUGGCAGGGAUAAACGCUGAAAGCAUCUAAGCGUGAAGCCCCCCUCAAGAUGAGAUUUCCCAUUUCUUCGGAAAGUAAGAUCCCUGAAAGAUGAUCAGGUAGAUAGGUUUGGAGUGGAAGUGUAGCGAUACAUGGAGCGGACAAAUACUAAUCGAUCGAGGACUUAACCAAAA
This 2148-nucleotide ribosomal RNA is filed under the name Listeria monocytogenes. RNAcentral describes it as "partial 23S ribosomal RNA". It matches the Rfam family "Bacterial large subunit ribosomal RNA", at positions 784 to 2925 of the family's 2925-position model. The record is from RNAcentral. Lineage: Bacteria; Bacillati; Bacillota; Bacilli; Caryophanales; Listeriaceae.